GAGUUUGAUCCUGGCUCAGGAUGAACGCUGGCGGCGUGCCUAACACAUGCAAGUCGAGCGAAGCACACAUGCGGAGGCCUCCGGGCCAAAGGAUGUGUGACUGAGCGGCGGACGGGUGAGUAACGCGUGGGUAACCUGCCCUAUACAGGGGGAUAACAGCUAGAAAUGGCUGCUAAUACCGCAUGAGCGCACAGCUCCGCAUGGAGCGGUGUGAAAAACUCCGGUGGUAUAGGAUGGACCCGCGUCCGAUUAGCUAGUUGGUGGGGUAAAGGCCCACCAAGGCGACGAUCGGUAGCCGACCUGAGAGGGUGACCGGCCACAUUGGGACUGAGACACGGCCCAAACUCCUACGGGAGGCAGCAGUGAGGGAUAUUGCACAAUGGGGGGAACCCUGAUGCAGCGACGCCGCGUGAGUGCAGAAGUAUUUCGGUAUGUAAAGCUCUAUCAGCAGGGAAGAGAAUGACGGUACCUGACUAAGAAGCCCCGGCUAACUACGUGCCAGCAGCCGCGGUAAUACGUAGGGGGCAAGCGUUAUCCGGAUUUACUGGGUGUAAAGGGAGCGUAGACGGCUGUACAAGUCUGAAGUGAAAGCCCGUGGCUCAACCGCGGAACUGCUUUGGAAACUGUAAAGCUGGAGUACUGGAGAGGCAGGCGGAAUUCC
RNAcentral lists this ribosomal RNA (661 nucleotides) under uncultured bacterium. Its description in RNAcentral is "bacterial SSU rRNA". It matches the Rfam family "Bacterial small subunit ribosomal RNA", at positions 9 to 670 of the family's 1533-position model. The record is from RNAcentral.